Molecule: transfer RNA, 90 nt
Filed under: Devosia neptuniae
Lineage: Bacteria; Pseudomonadati; Pseudomonadota; Alphaproteobacteria; Hyphomicrobiales; Devosiaceae
Also listed under: 4 other names
Description: tRNA-Ser
Rfam family: tRNA
About the family: Transfer RNA (tRNA) molecules are approximately 80 nucleotides in length. Their secondary structure includes four short double-helical elements and three loops (D, anti-codon, and T loops).
Source: RNAcentral
GGAGAGGUGGCCGAGUGGUCGAAGGCACGCCCCUGCUAAGGGCGCAGAUGGGAAACUGUCUCGAGGGUUCGAAUCCCUUCCUCUCCGCCA